This 504-nucleotide ribosomal RNA is filed under the name uncultured bacterium. RNAcentral's name for it is "partial 16S ribosomal RNA". It matches the Rfam family "Bacterial small subunit ribosomal RNA", at positions 28 to 523 of the family's 1533-position model. The record is from RNAcentral.
GAUAAACGCUAGCGGCAGGCUUAACACAUGCAAGUCGAGGGGCAGCAUAGAUUGUAGCAAUACAAUUGGUGGCGACCGGCGCACGGGUGCGUAACGCGUAUGCAACCUACCCGUCACAGGGGGAUAAUCCGGAGAAAUCUGGUCUAAUACCCCAUAACAUAUGGAUCGGCAUCGGUUCAUGUUGAAAUUUUCGGAGGUGACGGAUGGGCAUGCGUAGCACUAGCUUGUUGGUGAGGUAACGGCUCACCAAGACGACGAUGCUUAGGGGGACUGAGAGGUUGUCGCGCCACACUGGGACUGAGACACGGACCGGACUCGUCCGGGAGGCAGCCGUUAGGAAUAUUGGUCAAUGGGCGCAAGCCUGAACCAGCCAUGCCGCGUGCAGGAUGACGGCUCUAUGCGUUGUAAACUGCUUUUGUACGAGGGUAAAGUGGGUUACGUGUAACCUUUUGCAAGUAUCGUACGAAUAAGGAUCGGCUAACUCCGUGCCAGCCGCCGCAGUAA